GACGAACGCUGGCGGCGUGCUUAACACAUGCAAGUCGAACGGAAAGGCCCCUUCGGGGGUGCUCGAGUGGCGAACGGGUGAGUAACACGUGGGUGAUCUGCCCUGCACUUUGGGAUAAGCCUGGGAAACUGGGUCUAAUACCGGAUAGGACUACGGCCUGCAUGGGUUGUGGUGGAAAGCUUUUGCGGUGUGGGAUGGGCCCGCGGCCUAUCAGCUUGUUGGUGGGGUGAUGGCCUACCAAGGCGACGACGGGUAGCCGGCCUGAGAGGGUGUCCGGCCACACUGGGACUGAGAUACGGCCCAGACUCCUACGGGAGGCAGCAGUGGGGAAUAUUGCACAAUGGGCGCAAGCCUGAUGCAGCGACGCCGCGUGAGGGAUGACGGCCUUCGGGUUGUAAACCUCUUUCAGCAUCGACGAAGCGCAAGUGACGGUAGAUGCAGAAGAAGCACCGGCCAACUACGUGCCAGCAGCCGCGGUAAUACGUAGGGUGCGAGCGUUGUCCGGAAUUACUGGGCGUAAAGAGCUCGUAGGUGGUUUGUCGCGUUGUUCGUGAAAACUCACAGCUUAACUGUGGGCGUGCGGGCGAUACGGGCAGACUGGAGUACUGCAGGGGAGACUGGAAUUCCUGGUGUAGCGGUGGAAUGCGCAGAUAUCAGGAGGAACACCGGUGGCGAAGGCGGGUCUCUGGGCAGUAACUGACGCUGAGGAGCGAAAGCGUGGGGAGCGAACAGGAUUAGAUACCCUGGUAGUCCACGCCGUAAACGGUGGGUACUAGGUGUGGGUUUCCUUCCUUGGGAUCCGUGCCGUAGCUAACGCAUUAAGUACCCCGCCUGGGGAGUACGGCCGCAAGGCUAAAACUCAAAGGAAUUGACGGGGGCCCGCACAAGCGGCGGAGCAUGUGGAUUAAUUCGAUGCAACGCGAAGAACCUUACCUGGGUUUGACAUGCACAGGACGCACCUAGAGAUAGGUGUUCCCUUGUGGCCUGUGUGCAGGUGGUGCAUGGCUGUCGUCAGCUCGUGUCGUGAGAUGUUGGGUUAAGUCCCGCAACGAGCGCAACCCUUGUCUCAUGUUGCCAGCGCGUUAUGGCGGGGACUCGUGAGAGACUGCCGGGGUCAACUCGGAGGAAGGUGGGGAUGACGUCAAGUCAUCAUGCCCCUUAUGUCCAGGGCUUCACACAUGCUACAAUGGCCGGUACAAAGGGCUGCGAUGCCGUGAGGUGGAGCGAAUCCUUUCAAAGCCGGUCUCAGUUCGGAUCGGGGUCUGCAACUCGACCCCGUGAAGUCGGAGUCGCUAGUAAUCGCAGAUCAGCAACGCUGCGGUGAAUACGUUCCCGGGCCUUGUACACACCGC
This 1352-nucleotide ribosomal RNA is filed under the name uncultured bacterium. Its description in RNAcentral is "bacterial SSU rRNA". It matches the Rfam family "Bacterial small subunit ribosomal RNA", at positions 28 to 1393 of the family's 1533-position model. The record is from RNAcentral.